CCAGACUCCUACGGGAGGCAGCAGUGGGGGAUAUUGCACAAUGGGGGGAACCCUGAUGCAGCGACGCCGCGUGAGUGAAGAAGUAUUUCGGUAUGUAAAGCUCUAUUAGCAGGGAAGAAAGAGACGAAAGUCUUGUGACAGUACCUGACUAAGAAGCCCCGGCUAACUACGUGCCAGCAGCCGCGGUAAUACGUAGGGGGCAAGCGUUAUCCGGAUUUACUGGGUGUAAAGGGAGCGUAGGCGGUUAGAUAAGGCUGAUGUAAAAGCCCGCAGCUUAACUGUGGGAUUGCAUUGGAAACUGUAGAACUAGAGUGUCGGAGAGGUAAGUGGAAUUCCUGGUGUAGCGGUGAAAUGCGUAGAUAUUAGGAGGAACACCAGUGGCGAGGGCGGCUUACUGGACGAUGACUGACGCUGAGGCUCGAAAGCGUGGGGGGCAAACAGGA
Molecule: ribosomal RNA, 443 nt
Filed under: uncultured bacterium
Lineage: Bacteria
Description: partial 16S ribosomal RNA
Rfam family: Bacterial small subunit ribosomal RNA
Source: RNAcentral